CCUACGGGUGGCCGCAGUGAGGAAUAUUGGUCAAUGGGCGAAAGUCUGAACCAGCCAAGUAGCGUGAAGGAUGACGGCCCUAUGGGUUGUAAACUUCUUUUAUAUGGGAAUAAAAUGGUCCACGUGUGGGUUUUUGUAUGUACCAUAUGAAUAAGGAUAGGCUAACUCCGUGCCAGCAGCCGCGGUAAUACGGAGGAUCCGAGCGUUAUCCGGUUUUAUUGGGUUUAAAGGGAGCGUAGGUGGGUUGUUAAGUCAGUUGGGAAAGUUUGCGGCUCAACCGUAACAUUGCAGUUGAAACUGGCAGUCUUGAGUACAGUAGAGGUGGGCGGAAUUCGUGGUGUAGCGGUGAAAUGCUUAGAUAUCACGAAGAACUCCGAUGGCGAAGGCAGCUCACUGGACUGCAACUGACACUGAGGCUCGAAAGUGUGGGUAUCAAACAGGAUUAGAUACCCCAGUAGUC
This 460-nucleotide ribosomal RNA is filed under the name uncultured bacterium. RNAcentral's name for it is "partial 16S ribosomal RNA". It matches the Rfam family "Bacterial small subunit ribosomal RNA", at positions 338 to 795 of the family's 1533-position model. The record is from RNAcentral.